UUGGAGGGCAAGUCUGGUGCCAGCAGCCGCGGUAAUUCCAGCUCCAAUAGCGUAUAUUAAAGUUGUUGCAGUUAAAAAGCUCGUAGUUGAAUUUCGGGAUCAGUUGGUCGGUCGUGCCCCGAUACGUACUGGUCAAAUUGAUUCCUACCUUCUGACGAACCACGAUGUCAUUAAUUUGGUGUCGCGGGAAAUCAGGACUGUUACUUUGAAAAAAUUAGAGUGUUUAAAGCAGGCUCGCGCUUGAAUACAUUAGCAUGGAAUAAUGAAAUAGGACGUUUGAUUCUAUUUUGUAGGUUUCUAGGAUCGACGUAAUGAUUAAUAGGGAUAGUUGGGGGCAUUAGUAUUCAAUUGUCAGAGGUGAAAUUCUUGGAUUUAUUGAAGACUAACUACUGCGAAAGCAUUUGCCAAGGAUGUUUUCAUUAAUCAAGAACGAAAGUUAGGGGAUCGAAGACGAUCAGAUACCGUCGUAGUCUUAACCAUAAACUAUGCCGACUAGGGAUCGGAUGAUGUUAAUUUUUUAAUGACUCAUUCGGCGCCUUACGGGAAACCAAAGUGUUUGGGUUC
This 564-nucleotide ribosomal RNA is filed under the name uncultured Glomeromycotina. RNAcentral describes it as "SSU rRNA". It matches the Rfam family "Eukaryotic small subunit ribosomal RNA", at positions 548 to 1114 of the family's 1831-position model. Lineage: Eukaryota; Fungi; Glomeromycota. The record is from RNAcentral.